Molecule: long non-coding RNA, 2488 nt
Organism: Hypanus sabinus (Atlantic stingray)
Lineage: Eukaryota; Metazoa; Chordata; Chondrichthyes; Myliobatiformes; Dasyatidae
Exons: 3
Source: RefSeq, a predicted model, not a curated record
UUCAGCACCUUUUAUAUUGUGAAAUGCACUUUGAAGAACUCAGGAGGACGAUGGCACCUAACAGCGACUCCUUUCCUUCUUCGGAAACAGCUCUAUUUCUAUCUUUGAUAUCUCUUUUUUCCCCCUUUUCAAGGUUCUUUUGAAGAUGCUGACUUUGGAUCUUUGUAGAAAUGAGUCCCGCUCUCGGGGCCUCAUGACCAGCUGCUUUUCGAUAUGCCAAGGGUGCGGCCUGGAAGACUAGGCCUACCUUCAGGGUGCCAGAUUUUGUGGCUCUGGAGGUGGGCGGAAUCAAGGCCAGUGCCGCCGUCUGAAGGUUGUAAACAGUGAGCUGGCUGCUGGCUGUGUGAUCAGAGUCCAAAGUUCUUUGAACACAGAGCUCAGAAGAAGAGACACAACGGACUUUUAACACCAUAAACCUGCAAGCAAAAGUGCAUGAGGAACUCAACAGGUCAAUGGAAAUGAAUAAACAGUCACCAUUUUGGGCAAGACCCUUCUUCAGGACUGGAAAGGAAGACUUCAGUGAAGCCAGGUGCAUAUUCCAAUGUCCAGAUUCACCGGUUUUGCCUCUUCGCUUUGAUUUCACCAGCUGACCUUAGGAUGACUGCACACUCAACCCACAGGCAUCUCCAAAUAACUGGAUGCAAACCACUACAGAUGCCAUAAAUCUAAAAUAAAAAUGUAAAUGCUGGUGGAACUCAGCAGGCCAGCAGCAUCCAUGGAAAAGAGUACAGUUGAGGCUUCGGGCUGAGACAUUGACUCUACUCUUUUCCAUAGAUGCUGCCUGGCAGGUUGAGUUCCUCUAGCACUUUGUGUGUGUUGGUUGGAUUUCCAGCAUCUGCAGGCUUUCUCUUGUCUGGAAAUGUUCUGCAGGUCAGGUAAAAUGAUGAACACAGAGAGGCUGCUCACUUUGGUCUGUUAAGAGAUCCAGAGAAAUAUCAGGAUGACAUGCUCAACUUGGAAGGCAGUGACUGGAAUUCUGCAUCCAAGGGCUAUUGGUGACUUUAUGCCAGGCAAAUAAAUUUUGAAAUGUAGGGGAAGUGAAGAAACAUUUGGAUCAUGCAGAUAGUGAAUAUUUGAGAAGCAACAGAGGAACUAUAGUAGACCAAUUAGCUUCUUCAGCAUACUGCACCUUCCAAUAGAUUGUGGUCCACGUAGUCUUCUCCUCAACAUCAUUUCCCUGCAUCUUCCACAUAUUCUGCAUUGAUUAUACUUAGAGACUCAAUAUACCCAAUGCAGAUAGAUUGCGAGACACCUUUCCCUUUAAUAUUGUUAUCUAGAACCAAAAGGCAUGCGCUUAAGCUGAGGGGAAUUGAGGAAGAAUUGUUUUUGAGAGGUUAAUUAAAACCUAAAAUGCACUGCUUGAAGAAAAGGGAGACAUUUAACAUCAACAUUCUAGGAUUGUGAUAAGCACUUGAAUGGCCAAGGUGUGAAGGCCGCAGGUCAGCAUGAUCUGCUUCCUUGCUGCAUGACUGCCUCCACUGUUGUGCAGAAUAGAGAGAUUCACAAACAUCUAAACAAAUUCCUCCUCAUAUCAAGUUCGAAUGGGUGAUCACUUAUGCUGGAACUGAAUCUAUUUCUUGCAGUAUCCAUCAUAUUAACACCCUUCUGAAUCUUCAACGUAUCAAUAAGAUUACUGCUCAGUCCAAUAUUCCAUUGGGUAGAGGGCUAACAUGCUUAACUAUCUUUGAUUGCAAUCAAAUAAACUUCCUCUACACUGGCUUUAAUCCAAGUACAGUGGAUUCCACUUAAUUGGGACACAUCAGGACCAGUACAUUUUGGGCCAAUUAAGUAGCUGGCCAAUUAGCCAAAGUUUCACAGAGAUAAUUUUAAAAAUAUAAAGAUGAAAAACUACCAUUUAAUGGAGUAACAAACUAUGUCUUUAAAUGAAUUGCAGAACAAAUUGGAACACUAGCAAUACUACUACAGUGCUACAAGGUGGUAGGUGAAACCGGGAGGGGAGGGAGGAAAUAAAGAGCUGGGAAGGUUUGUAGCAGCGCUUCUCCCUAUAGAUGCUGCCUGACCUGCUGCGUUCCACCAGCAUUUUGUGUGUGUUGCUUGAAUUUCCAGCAUCUGGAGAUUUCCUCGUAGUUCCUAAUAGUUAUUGACUGAGGAAUUUAUUCAGCGUCCACUAUGUAUAGGGUAAUCUUUUUGGCUAGUGUCAAAUCUCUUUGUAACAUCUUGGCAAGGGACUGAAAUUUUAAGUCACAAUAAAAAAACAAAAUUAUCAAAAACUCGCUGCCUUUUGAAUCUGAUUCUGUCAGCCCAAAUGAAUUAACAUGACACAAGUACACGCUACUGAUGUUAUUUAAAAACUGUUCACUCUAAGCUUGUUGUGAACUGUUCAGCAACAGUCUCUUGUUACAUUCAGCCAGAGAAUCAUUCCACUGAGAUGUAACACUGAGCAGCAUAGGAAGUCAUUCCUACCUGUGGCCAUCAAACUUUACAACUCCUCCCUCGGAGUGUCAGACACCCUGAGCCAAUAGGCUGG